AGGACAGGUGCUGCAUGGCUGUCGUCAGCUCGUGUCGUGAGAUGUUGGGUUAAGUCCCGCAACGAGCGCAACCCUUGCCUUUAGUUGCCAGCAGUUCGGCUGGGCACUCUAAAGGGACUGCCGGUGUUAAACCGGAGGAAGGUGGGGAUGACGUCAAGUCCUCAUGGCCUUUAUGACCAGGGCUACACACGUACUACAAUGGCCGAUACAAAGGGCAGCGACAUCGCGAGGUGAAGCCAAUCCCAUAAAAUCGGUCUCAGUCCGGAUUGGAGUCUGCAACUCGACUCCAUGAAGUUGGAAUCGCUAGUAAUCGUGGAUCAGCAUGCCACGGUGAAUACGUUCCCGGGCCUU
This 351-nucleotide ribosomal RNA is filed under the name uncultured Desulfobulbus sp. RNAcentral describes it as "bacterial SSU rRNA". It matches the Rfam family "Bacterial small subunit ribosomal RNA", at positions 1031 to 1382 of the family's 1533-position model. The record is from RNAcentral. Lineage: Bacteria; Pseudomonadati; Thermodesulfobacteriota; Desulfobulbia; Desulfobulbales; Desulfobulbaceae.